CAAAUCCGAAUGGUGGCCCUGAAAUCCUCGCUAUUGAUACGGAAGGAAGUGAUGGAUCAGAGCGAGAGGAUGAUACGAAGUUUGAGAAACAAACUGCGCUAUUUUGCUUGGCUGUUUCAAACACCGUCAUAGUCAACAUGUAAGCUUGGUUUUGAGGCACCACAAGUCCAUAACCUUUAAAUUUUAGUAGCACAAUGUCAAACGGUCUUGUCUUUUCCUUCU
Long non-coding RNA from Coffea eugenioides, 222 nucleotides. RefSeq lists it as uncharacterized. Lineage: Eukaryota; Viridiplantae; Streptophyta; Magnoliopsida; Gentianales; Rubiaceae. The record is from RefSeq and is a predicted model, not a curated record. The transcript has 2 exons.